Molecule: transfer RNA, 82 nt
Filed under: Rhizoctonia sp.
Lineage: Eukaryota; Fungi; Basidiomycota; Agaricomycetes; Cantharellales; Ceratobasidiaceae
Description: tRNA-Ser
Source: RNAcentral
GGAAUAUUUUCCAUUGGUAAGGUAAAGCGAUUGCUAAUCGCUAGGGUUAAAACCUUUAAACGUUCGAAUCGUUUAUAUUCCG